Molecule: non-coding RNA, 23 nt
Filed under: Rattus norvegicus (Norway rat)
Lineage: Eukaryota; Metazoa; Chordata; Mammalia; Rodentia; Muridae
Source: RNAcentral
GUUUGGGCCAUAGUUGUUACUGA